RNAcentral lists this ribosomal RNA (253 nucleotides) under uncultured bacterium. RNAcentral describes it as "partial 16S ribosomal RNA". It matches the Rfam family "Bacterial small subunit ribosomal RNA", at positions 524 to 776 of the family's 1533-position model. The record is from RNAcentral.
UACGUAGGGUGCGAGCGUUGUCCGGAAUUAUUGGGCGUAAAGAGCUCGUAGGCGGUUUGUCGCGUCUAUCGUGAAAACUGGAGGCUCAACUUCCAGCGUGCGGUGGAUACGGGCAGACUUGAGUUCGGUAGGGGAGACUGGAAUUCCUGGUGUAGCGGUGAAAUGCGCAGAUAUCAGGAGGAACACCGGUGGCGAAGGCGGGUCUCUGGGCCGAUACUGACGCUGAGGAGCGAAAGCGUGGGGAGCGAACAGG